AACAAUAGUGCUUCAUCAUUGAAGUGUUGAAUGAUUUAUGCUUGCUUGAAGAAGACUUGUCGAUUAUAUAAUUAAAAUUGCACUAAAGUCUAUGAACAAAGGCGAACACCUUGAGCAACUAGGUCAUUCAUCCCGUACCCAAGGAUACCCUAGAAAAGGAUAUGAAUUCUCCACUCUCAUUAUUCUUUGUUACUUAAGGCCCAUUGCGUUCAACUCGAAUCAGAAUUGACAAGUUGCUGAUAGGAG
RNAcentral lists this long non-coding RNA (246 nucleotides) under Lathyrus oleraceus (garden pea). RNAcentral's name for it is "Pisum sativum (pea) long non-coding RNA (PSAT_LNC006479)". Lineage: Eukaryota; Viridiplantae; Streptophyta; Magnoliopsida; Fabales; Fabaceae. The record is from RNAcentral.